Molecule: transfer RNA, 72 nt
Filed under: Ictidomys tridecemlineatus (thirteen-lined ground squirrel)
Lineage: Eukaryota; Metazoa; Chordata; Mammalia; Rodentia; Sciuridae
Description: Spermophilus tridecemlineatus (thirteen-lined ground squirrel) tRNA
Rfam family: tRNA
About the family: Transfer RNA (tRNA) molecules are approximately 80 nucleotides in length.
Source: Rfam by way of RNAcentral
UGGGGUGUGGCUCAGUGGUAGAGCAUUCGCCUAACAUGUGCGGGGCACUGGGAUCCAUCCUCAGCACCACAU